GGUGUCGAGGGGAGCUCUGAGAGCUGAGGUCUGCCUAAUCUCCGUAGCAUCCGCUAGCAGCAGGGCCUGCAGUCCCAGGGUCCUCCUUAAGAGCCUUGCAAAGCCCAUGCAGUUUCUGACUAUAAAAGCCGCUCUUGCGCACAAGGUCUUGCGGCUGCUGCUUUCCUCCUUUGCUUUUGUGACAUUCAGCUCAGCUGUAAGAACAUGUGUGGCCCCAUGCCAUCAGUAGACGCACCAUCCAAGCCACCCUGAGCAGCCCGCAGCUCCUAGAGCAUGAGGUAAUGGAUUGCAGGGAGCCAACAUGAGGCAUGAGAGCCAAAAAAUACACGGAAAUUGAGAGACAAGUGAUAAAAGGGAUAUGAGCGUUAAAUAACAGAAAGGCAUAAGAAAGCUUGAGAGGCAAAUGGCAGCAGUGUCAGAGGUAGUAGGGCACGGUUGGCCGGAAGCAUUGCAGUUUCCAGAAUGAAGCUUUAACUAAGCCUUGUGCAAUGGAGUUCCUUUUCAGCAGCAAGAUUUAUAUCUGGGUUUUGUUGCAACUGUGAUGGAUCGUUAAUGCUUUAUUUUUAUACAUAUCUUUAAUUUACAAUACUGUAUGUAGGUCAGGUUGUACUUUUGAGAAAUAUUUCCACCUGCUCCUCAUGUUCGCCUUGAUCUGAAAUGAAAUGCUGGCUUACAAGUAACUAUAAAAUGCACUCCUAAAUUAUCCACAGGACUCUCCCUCUGAGUCCAAGGCUAGGCAUUGUAACAGAUGGACUUCACUCUGUCAUUAAGUCAUGUUUAAGGUACAAGUAGCAUUAAUGUUCAGAGAGAACAAUACAAAAUACAGGAUCCCAUGUCUUUAAACUCAGAUAUAAGCCACGCAGUGAGUUGUUUUCUAGUUUCACUCCCUUGGUCAGGGACAGUAAACAUUUGAAAGGAAGUUAAUCAGCCCCUCUAAAGGGAUUUUUUCCAACAACAAGCCAUCAUCUGAAUGCAAAUGUGAUCUGAAAGUCAAUAUGUACCUUCAGAGGAACUUUGGAAGAAAUACAGGUAACUGAAGGGAAAAACAGGAUUCCUGGCCUGUUUAUACCCAAAAGCAAUGAAAAAAUGUCCAGUCGGUAUAGCUGUAUCUGAAAGGGAUGUGUGUUGACAGUAUUAGGAAGCAGAAUAUGAAUUUUGAAAAGUCCCUGUUAAAUGGUUGCCUUUUGCAGUGUGCCUGGAUGGAGAUCAAAUGUGACCUACUUCAGGAAGCUGAAUCCUGGAGACCCAGGGCUUUUGUACAGCAGAACCUGCUGGUUCCUCCUUCUGUUUUUUAAAGAGGGGGAACUAGCUGGAGUGCCAUCACUGUGACAGGAAAAGCUGUGCACUUCUAGCUGCUUAUUUCAGUGACACAAAUUGUCUUCUUUGGCAUUAUCUUUACCGAUACGGUUGAACACAUUGCAUGGAGAGUUUCCAUGUCUUGUGUUCUGAGUCUCUCCAUUUCUUGUGUUCCAGUGUAUUUUUUAGUAAAUAUUACAUAUGGCCCCAUGUUAAAUGACUUUUGCUUCUAUUUUCUAUGACGGUCAGGGCAAAGGAUGAUAACUAAUGGGAAUUAUUUUAUGGAAAUGGAAAUUACUGUACCCAAAGGGAGAGCAAGGCCUGUGAGAGCCUGACAUGCAGCUCAGGGAAUGAGGUGUUCCCAAGCCCACAGUUCUGACGGACCUGGAACAUAUCCUCACUCAUCCAGUACAAAGUUGUCAGGUUGAAGGUGGUAAUGAAUUACUGAGGAACUACUGAAGCACUAGUUGUUUUUAAGCAGGAGGAAGAAAAGCAAUCCAGUCAUUUAGAUACCUGUUAGUCUGACCUCGUGGACAUUAAAAGCUUAGAAAAAAAUGUAAAGGAAAAAGUAGUUGGGGACAGAAAAUAAAUAAAGUGGAAAAUAAAGUAAAAAUGUGACAUAGCUUUAUUAAAGAUAGAUUGCAUUUAACUAAGAUUAUAUCUUUGCUAAUUGUUUUCUAGGCAAUGGCUGUACAAUAGAUUUAAUCUAACUGGAUUUAAUAAGAUAUUAAAACCAAUGCCAUAUGGCAAAUGCAUAGUUCAUCUGCAGAGCUAUUUGGUAGGGAAGGAGCUAGCUACAGACAGAUGACAAUAGUUUGGGUGGAAAGGUAGACUGUGAGGGUGGAGCUGAGCUCCUUAAGAAAUGACUUGGAGACAUAUCAGCAGGUUCAAAAAUUUAUUCAAUAAAUUAAUGGAGAGCAGGUCUAUAAAAAAAUAGCUACAUGGAAAAGGUAGGGAAGUCACCUCAAACGUACACCACCUGUGGAUGCACGGGGAGUGCAAAGGGAAGAGAGAGCAGAAAGUGGCUGGGUUCCGAUGCUCUCUCAAAACAGCAUCGCUGACUGCCCCUCUCAGAGGUGGAGUGCUGGACCACAGGGACCACAGGCUGACCCAGCGAGGGGAAGGACAGCUGCCUCGCAGACGGAGGCUUUCCGGCCCGCACGGGACGGCGUUAAGGACUGUUAGCUGUAACGACGGCCGCUGGAAGGAACAAGUCAUCACUAUGCCAGCAUUGCCUUUGGAUCAACUCCAGCUGACAGAAAGAGAUCCCAAGACAGGGAAGCUGAGAACUUUACCGGCACUGCACCCAGAAAUAAAAGCAGAUCGGUCUUUUGUGCUAUACAGACCGCCACCUGUUGUCAGAGACCCUGCUUUAGUGGAAGAAUUCUUGGAGCGAGCAAAAUUCAUUGCAGAUGACCUGAACUGGCUUCUGGCUUUGCCUCAUGACAAAUUUUGGUGCCAGGUAAUAUUUGAUGAGACACUUCAGAAAUGUCUGGAUUCCUACCUGCGCUAUGCCCCUCGCAGGUUUGAUGCUUUGUUGGAUUGCCAUCCAGAGGUGAAUGACAUGCAGAAAUGUCUUCAUCGGAGUGUCUUCCUGACUUUCCUCAGAAUGUCCACUCACAAGGAGUCCAAGGAUCAUUUUAUCACUCCCUCUGUCUUUGGAGAAAUUAUUUACAAUAAUUUCCUGUUCGACAUCCCUAAGAUUCUGGAUCUCUGUGUGCUUUUUGGGAAAGGAAAUGGUCUCCUGCUCCAGAAGAUGAUUGAAAAUAUCUUCACUCAGCAACCAAGUUACUUCAGUGAUCUAGACGAAACUCUGCCCACUGUCCUCCAGGUGUUCAACAAUAUUUUGCAUAAGUGUGGUUUGCAGUGUGAAGGAGCCUCUGCUGAGCCUCAGAAACUGGAAGAAAAAGUAAAUGUGACUCCAGGGAACAUGCCCCUUCAGGAGCUGAAGGACAUUGUGCUGUACUUAUGUGACACUUGCACGACGCUCUGGGCGUUUCUUGAUGUCUUCCCAUUGGCUUGCCAGACCUUCCAAAAACAUGAGUUUUGUUACAGAUUAGCUUCGUUUUAUGAAUUGGCAAUUCCUGAGCUGGAAUCUGCAAUUAAGAAGAGGCAUUAUGAGGAUAACAGUGUUUUUGCUGAUUUGUGGAGGAGAAUUUCACAUUCCAGAAAGAGGAUGAUAGAAGCUUUUCACAUCCUAAUAAACCAAGUCUGUCUGCAACCCAUCUUAGAAAGCAGCCGUGAGAAUAUUCAGCCUUUUAUUGAGGAAUUCCUACAGAUCUUCACUUCAGUGCUUCAGGAAAGGAGAUUUCUCCGUGACUAUGAUGAGCUGUUUCCUGUUGAGGAUGAUGUCAGUCUGCUUCAGCAAGCAUCCUCCACGCUAGAUGAGACCAGGACAGCCUAUAUCCUCCAAGCAGUGGAAAGUGCAUGGGAAGGGGUAGACAGGAGAAAAGCACAAGUCGUUAAAGAUCCAACACCACUAGCAGCAUCUAAUGGAGCAUCAGCAAUAGUGGAGAGCACUGCCGAGGACAUUGAAGAGCUCGGGGCUGCAUAUGCAUCAGAGGAUGAGUGUGCCGGUGCAGCUGCUGCACCCAUUGCCAAGGUGUCAGGGGUGGAGCUGGACUCUCUGAUCUCUCAAGUGAAAGACUUGCUGCCAGACCUUGGUGAGGGCUUCAUCCUGGCCUGCCUGGAAGAGUACAGUUACAAUGCGGAGCAAGUGAUCAACAACAUUCUAGAAGAUAAGCUAGUACCAUACUUGGAUAAGCUGGACCGAACAAUGCAAAGACAGCUGAAGCCAGACCCUACUCCUCUAGUCACUUCUCGCUAUAAUGUUUUCCAGAAUGAUGAGUUUGAUGUUUUCAGUAGGGAUUCAGUGGAUGUUUCUCGGAUACAAAAAGGCAAGCGGAGGGAGAAGGACACGACGAGGAGUUUGCUGAAUGACAAACGCCUGGUUGCUGAGCAGAAGGAGCGCUACAGCCAGUACAGUGUGAUUGUGGAGGAGAUUCCUGUGCAGCAAGGAGAAGCUCAACUCUACAAGGAGGACUAUGAGGACGAGUACGAUGACACUUAUGAUGGAAACCAAGUGGGGGCAAAUGAUGCUGACUCAGAUGAUGAGCUGAUCAGUAGGAGGCCGUUCACAAUUCCUCAGGUCUUGAGACCUAAAGGACAGGAGGAAGGACUGGAGGAAGAGGAAGAGGAUGAAGAGGAGGAGGAGGAAGCUGAAAAGGAAAGAACAAAGGACCAUUUUGUGCAGGACCCAGCUGUACUGCGGGAGAGAGCUGAAGCCAGGCGGCUAGCUUACCUUGCGAGGAAAGGGCACAAGCACGACAGCUCUGCUGUUGUUGGGAAUGUGAAGGGCCAUGGGCAGAACCGGGAAACGGUGCAGGAACGAAGGAAGAAGGAAGCAAACAAAAGCACACGAGCUAACCAUAAUCGACGAGUCAUGGCUGACAGAAAGCGGAAUAAAGGCAUGAUUCCUUCCUGAAAGACCAGGUGUUGGAUCAUCCCCAGUCCUCUGCUUAGGAGGAGACAGGUGUGCUCCGUUCCCUCGGCACCCCCUUCACUCAGGGGACUGGGUGUCGUGGUUCGGUGCCUGACACUUCAGCUCAUGCGGAACUGCACGCCCUGCAGGAGGCCUGCCCGUUCAUGGGAAGGAACUGCCCUCCAGGCUGACCCUGACUGCUUUUCAGUUUAUAGAGAUGUGUGUAUGACGGUGGGCUGCACCGCAAUGCAUUGGACAGGCUGCACCAGCCAUUUUUUUCCUUUUGUACUAUUUAUAAUUCUGAGAAUUUUAUUUUCAUACCAGCUCCGUACGCCCUCUCCGCAACUCAAGUGGGCUUCCAGGCCACACAACGGGCAGCUCUGAGAGCAAGGCUUCCCUGGAACAGCCCUCGUGGUUUUCUGCUCCACUGAAAUGCCUUAUUCUGAAGUACAAGUUGAAGGUUGAUAAGAAAACGCUCAGGCUAUUACCAUUGCCAACAGACACAAAGGAGUUCAGGGCACGCAUUGAAUCACCUCGUCCUGUCCAAGAAGCCGUUCUAUGUCCUGUCCGCGUAACGUGGCGUCCGGGCAGUUAUCAUCCCACCACAGCACUACUUUGAAACACAAGGAUGACUUGACCCAUCUCAUCGAACGCUCACGCCCGGGACAGCAGACUCCGCUGUCCCGUACAGCUCUGCGCGUUCACCCCUUCCUCUACUAAGGGCUAGAGAGCUACAGACCUGCGGAACGCGAAGCAAACUCAAUCCGUUUUAACCUUCCUGCGUCCCACCGCCUUGAAAACCUUUUCCCCAGCGGCUCCGCAGACCGGAGAAGCCCAGGACACACCGAGCC
Molecule: RNA transcript, 5628 nt
Organism: Aquila chrysaetos chrysaetos
Lineage: Eukaryota; Metazoa; Chordata; Aves; Accipitriformes; Accipitridae
Gene: ASCC2
Gene name: activating signal cointegrator 1 complex subunit 2
Exons: 21
Source: RefSeq, a predicted model, not a curated record